This 466-nucleotide ribosomal RNA is filed under the name uncultured bacterium. RNAcentral describes it as "partial 16S ribosomal RNA". It matches the Rfam family "Bacterial small subunit ribosomal RNA", at positions 330 to 793 of the family's 1533-position model. The record is from RNAcentral.
UCCAGACUCCUACGGGAGGCAGCAGUGAGGAAUAUUGGUCAAUGGACGAGAGUCUGAACCAGCCAAGUAGCGUGAAGGAUGACUGCCCUAUGGGUUGUAAACUUCUUUUAUAAAGGAAUAAAACGAGGCACGUGUGCCUUUUUGCAUGUACUUUAUGAAUAAGGAUCGGCUAACUCCGUGCCAGCAGCCGCGGUAAUACGGAGGAUGCGAGCGUUAUCCGGAUUUAUUGGGUUUAAAGGGUGCGUAGGUUGUUUUUUAAGUCAGCGGUGAAAGUUUGUGGCUCAACCAUAAAAUUGCCGUUGAAACUGGAAGACUUGAGUGUGUUUGAGGUAGGCGGAAUGCGUGGUGUAGCGGUGAAAUGCAUAGAUAUCACGCAGAACUCCGAUUGCGAAGGCAGCUUACUAAGCCAUAACUGACACUGAAGCACGAAAGCGUGGGGAUCAAACAGGAUUAGAUACCCUCGUAC